AAAUUGAAGAGUUUGAUCAUGGCUCAGAUUGAACGCUGGCGGCAGGCCUAACACAUGCAAGUCGAACGGUAGCACAGAGAGCUUGCUCUCGGGUGACGAGUGGCGGACGGGUGAGUAAUGUCUGGGAAACUGCCUGAUGGAGGGGGAUAACUACUGGAAACGGUGGCUAAUACCGCAUAACGUCGCAAGACCAAAGAGGGGGACCUUCGGGCCUCUUGCCAUCAGAUGUGCCCAGAUGGGAUUAGCUUGUUGGUGAGGUAACGGCUCACCAAGGCGACGAUCCCUAGCUGGUCUGAGAGGAUGACCAGCCACACUGGAACUGAGACACGGUCCAGACUCCUACGGGAGGCAGCAGUGGGGAAUAUUGCACAAUGGGCGCAAGCCUGAUGCAGCCAUGCCGCGUGUAUGAAGAAGGCCUUCGGGUUGUA
RNAcentral lists this ribosomal RNA (428 nucleotides) under Salmonella enterica subsp. enterica serovar Infantis. Its description in RNAcentral is "bacterial SSU rRNA". It matches the Rfam family "Bacterial small subunit ribosomal RNA", at positions 1 to 427 of the family's 1533-position model. Lineage: Bacteria; Pseudomonadati; Pseudomonadota; Gammaproteobacteria; Enterobacterales; Enterobacteriaceae. The record is from RNAcentral.